Long non-coding RNA from Anarrhichthys ocellatus (wolf-eel), 1671 nucleotides. RefSeq lists it as uncharacterized. The transcript has 3 exons. NCBI's taxonomy places the organism in Eukaryota, Metazoa, Chordata, Actinopteri, Perciformes, Anarhichadidae. The record is from RefSeq and is a predicted model, not a curated record.
AAUAUACAUUAUUAUAAAAUUGUAUACAAAAAUAGUACUUUUCCUUUUGGUGUAAUUAAGUAUAGUUUGAUACUGUCACGAUCUUGGUUUUGAUUUGGUUUGUUUCCUGUUUUAUUUUGAAUUUCCCUGCCUUUGUCCCGCGUUCACGUCACUUCCUGCCUUUGUGUGAUUUCCCGCCUUUGUGAUUCUCUGCCCCGCCCCUGAUAGAAUCCUCCUGUGUCUAAUCACUUGUACUUCCCCAGUGUAUUUAAACACUACAGUGUUCUCCUGUGCCUGUGUUGGUUCGUCUGCUAUGUUCCGUUCAAUGUCCCCUGCUUUGCUUCCUGGUAUGUUCCCUGCUAUGCUUACAGGCAGGGGCGUCGUUCGGCCUAUUUUAGGGGGGCUGAAGCUAUGAACUGAAAUCUAUGAACUGUCUGAAACAAUGUAUAUCCGCAGCCCCAAAUGAGCCCCAAAAAAAAAUUGCCGCUAACAUGCCACUCCCCUUGGGUCUAAGCCCCCCCUUUCUUUGUAUCCUAGAAACGCCCCUGCUUCCUGAUAUGUUCCCUGCUAUGCUUACAGGUACAGUAUGUCCCCUGCUUUACUUCCUGCUAUGCUUACAGGUACAGUAUGUCCCCUGCUUUACUUCCUGCUAUGCUUACAGGUAUGUCCCCUGCGGUGCUUCCUGGUAUGUUCCCUGCUAUGUUCCCCAAAAACAUCAACAACAAAAACAAAUACAACAAAACUAAAUACUAUAUACAAGGACACCAAGACGCAGUCAAUCGGCAUUUAAAUUUGGAGAUCAAAUUCCUCAACACAGCAUGAAAGAUACUUUUGUACCCGUUAAUUGGCAAAACAAUUUGAAUACGUCACAUUGAGCCCUGGAAUGUCAGCUGUCAAUGAAGUGGAACAGUCCCGAGGCACAAUCCGAUGAAGUAAGUGAUCAAACCUGUGUGGGUGGAUCACAGUCUCUGCGUUAGAUGAGACCGUGUUCUUGCAGAGAAACAAUGCCUGUCGUACGUUGAAACAUGAAAAUGAUCUGUGUGUAUGUGUGUGUGUUGGUAUGUUAACCACAGAAGCCGGUUUUGUCUGUAACUGGGAUCAUCACUUAACAAAGAGCCAUCUGCAGAUUCAUUCCACACCUGAUGUGUUACGAUCCACUAAAGAUAAACACAAUAUAAGUUGAAUAAAUCCCUGUUUUUGUUAUCUUCGCCACCAUCUUGACUGGAAGGGACACUUCUCUGUUUGGGAGGAGAGAGGGAGACACAUCUGGGCCCAACUUUUGCCCGAAGACAUUUUCUGCUACGAUUCCAAUAAAACACAAAUAAGUAUAUAUUGAUGUGAUAUAUCCACUUAUGUGUGUGUGUGUCAGCUUCUUGAGCCGCGUGUUACAGUGCGACAUGUCGGAGUGUUAUCGUGCCACAGACUGGACGCAUUGCCUCGUGUUACUUUAACCCGGGUACUUUAUGUGUAUGCUUGCUGUGGGUGAGUUCUGGAAGGAAAACCUUCUUAGCUUUGAAUUAUGUUUUCAUAUUUAUGCUAUUUUUCACUUUGCUCAAAGUCCGUUUCACACUGCUGGGGUUGUAGCUGAAAGAAUAAGGCUGAAAUUGUCACACAUGACAUCAUUUCACCAAGCGGAUGAAUAAAGCAUCUUCCAUUAUUAUUUAUAAGAAUUCAUGUAAGCAACACAUUCAU